GUUUUUUAGAUUUUUAAUUAAAGAUUUAAUCUGCCCAGUGAUAAAAUUAAAUGGCCGCAGUAAUUUGACUGUGCGAAGGUAGCAUAAUAAUUAGGCUUUUAAUUUGAGUCUAGAAUGAAUGAUUGGAUGAGAAAAUAACUUUCUUUAAUUUAUUAUUAAAAUUUAAUUUUUAAGUGAAAAAGCUUGAGAUUAUUCUAUGGGACGAUAAGACCCUAUAGAGCUUAAAAUGUAAUUAUUUUUUAAUAUUUUUGGUUUUUUUAUUUUUAAAAAUUUUUUAUUUUUUUAGUUGGGGAGAUUAAUAUAAUUAGUUUAACUUUAUUUUAUUUUUUCAUUUAUAUAUGUACAAUUGAUCCAUUAAUAUUGAUUAUAAGAAAAAGUUACCUUAGGGAUAACAGCGUUAUUUAUUUGGGGAGUUCAUAUCUAUAAAUAAGUUUGCGACCUCGAUGUUGGAUUAAGAUUAGAAUAGGGGGUAGGUUUUCUAUUUCUGGGUCUGUUCGACCUUUAAAUUCUUACA
Molecule: ribosomal RNA, 514 nt
Filed under: Philagra concolor
Lineage: Eukaryota; Metazoa; Arthropoda; Insecta; Hemiptera; Aphrophoridae
Description: partial 16S ribosomal RNA
Rfam family: Bacterial large subunit ribosomal RNA (bases 388-514)
Source: RNAcentral